Molecule: long non-coding RNA, 4842 nt
Filed under: Daucus carota (carrot)
Lineage: Eukaryota; Viridiplantae; Streptophyta; Magnoliopsida; Apiales; Apiaceae
Description: long non-coding RNA (DCAR_LNC000886)
Source: RNAcentral
CUCCAAAGUUUAAAAGGAUUGCCGCUGCAGAUUUCUUUAAAGGAUAUUUUGCCCAGAAGCUUGCUGGGAGAUGUUAUCUAGACACUCUACGAAUAUAAACCUAAUAUAUUCGGCUUUAUGCACCUGAGCUUCUUCAGCAGAGGCGGACGCACGUUCAGGGUCAUGGGGUCACGUGCCCCCAUAUAAUAUUGAGUAUCCCACAAGUAUAUAUAUUUUUGAAAAAUUAAGGAUCAUUUAAUUUAUCUAAUAAGUAAUUUAUAAGUCAAAAAUAUCUCACUAAAACAAAUAAAAGGAAGUUUUAAACAAAUAAUUUAAAUUAAGAUGAAUUUUUGGCUCUAACAAAAAUUUAUGUUCUUUUAUAAUAUCAUUAUUUAUAUGGUGCCCCGUCUUUAUAAUUGUUCUAGAUCCGCCACUGUUCUUCAGUGAAUAAACCUGCAACUUCCUACGUAUCGCUAACAAAGAAUCUGCUGCAAUUUCCACAAUGUAAACAGACUUAUUGUCUAUGCAACAGAUUGUAAUGAACUUUUCAUUGCAAUUUCCCUUGUUUCACUCGAGCUUCACGCAACAUUAACAAAUGUAGUCAAAAGUAGAUAUCUAGUAAUCUGCAUAGUUUAGUAAAUGAUGAGCUUAGAGCUAAACAAUAAUUUAUCAGCAAUGAUAGAAUGAAUUAGAAACUCCAUGUAUUUCUUAAAUUAUGCAUAUAAUUUACUUCCGAAUACGAGAACAGUGAAAACAGGAAGCAGUAAGCACACAGGAACUUUGUUUUACAACUCAUAGUCAAGAUUAGGUAACUUAGAGAAGCAUAUAUUUCAUUUAUUCAUUUAAAACUGAAAAAAUGUGCCUAAUAAUCAAGUUUCAUACAUAUUCUUCUGCGAAGAACGAGUUUCACAGGAGCCACAUGUUCGAGCCAAAAUAAUUAAACAAGCCAAGCCAUAUGUAGAUUCAUCAGCCAGAUAGACAUGAUAACAACAAUUGACAACUUUUUCCAAUAUCAUAAGGAAUUCAAACAACGAAAAGGCUAAUGAUUUUAAGUACCAGACAGUAUGAAUGAUGAAAUGUUUGUAUAAAAAGGGCCUAAUUGGUGAUGGUUUACAACUUGAUCGUUUAAUUAACUCUGUUAAGUACGAGGAAGGUUCUCUAAGGAUAGUGACGUGAAAUGGACUUUGUGCACUACAUCCAAUCACAGGUAGUGAAAGAUUUCAUGUGAUUUUUAUAAUGUUGGCUUGUUAAAGAGUAUUGUCUUUGUUUUUUCGUUCGGAAGAAUAGAGUGCUAAUCCCAUAUAAUCCGAAAAAUGUAAAUGGGAAGGAGCAUUCUGCAGAUUCUUAGGAUGACUUCGGGCACUGCACACAUAUGACAGAAAUGCUUAUUAGCAGAUUAUAAACUUAGUUUCAUGGAGAUGACUAAUGUACCAUUUAAUGAUCACUUCACAAUAAAAGACCUUCAAUUAUGAAAUACUGAAAGCUCUGCAUUAAUCAGAAUCCCAUAAAAAAAUAAUCAAAUUUCAUGAAGACCCUGUGAAAUUAGAAGGACACUUAACUAGAUACCUUUGGUUGGUUGGGUGUUACCUUGGUCGGAAUAGUAAAUUGCUCAAUCGCCUACAUAAAACAUAAAUAUUGUGGAACCAUAGAUGCAGGCAUCUUUGAGGUAAGGAAAAUGCUGGCAUCUGCUGUCAAAAAAUGGACAGAUAAACUGAUUCUGAUCAAUACAAUAGAACGCUUGGUAGUCGGCUACCAUUUUUCCAGUUGCAUUGAGGACCUGUUAGCAGAGAUUCAUGAAUCUCAUGCAAAUCUUGAAACUUAUGAAAAGUUGACGCAGAACGGAACACUCGGAUCAACAAACGUUAAUCCUUAUGCACACACACACAAAUCCGCCAACGCGAAUUUGAAAGUUAAAUCUGGAAUCCACCAGAAAAGAUGAGAAAACUCUCAAGGGUUUUGUUUAUUCAAUCAUAAGCUGCCGACUUUUUGCUUACAAUAUUGUUUAUAUAGGAAUAUAAAACCCUAAAACAUAAUAAUAAAAAACAAAUUCUACUUAAAAAUAAAAUAUUAAAUAUAAGUGGCAUGAUCAUGCAGCCAGUCAGCGUGAUCAUGUUGUUGUCCUCUCUAGCCUCUGGAGCUUUUUCCUGCUUUGGCAUGAUCAUGCAGCCCUUUAGCAUGCUCAUGCUGUUUUCCUCCCUUCUUCUUUGCAGGCCUUUUCAUGUCAAGCUUCUCUUCAAAAUUCUGAGCCUCUUGUUCUACAUCAAAAGUAUGAUCUGACUCAUCAACAGCAACAUGCACAGUCACCCUCUCGUCUCCACGUAAUGCAUCAUUUUCUUAAUAUAGCAAUAAACGGUGGAGCUAGCAAGCAAACUGUACAAGAUAUCAACCGGGAAGUGGGAACGCUCAGGGACGGAAACAGGGGGCAAUGGGGUGGUCAUGGUGGCCCAAAGCCUUCCCUAAGAGUUUGAAUUGAUUCUAUUUUGACUAUAAAAAUCGAUUUUAUAGUCGUUAUGUCCCCCCAAAAAUCUCUCCAAAAGUUUGUAUUUAUUCAAUUUUGAGUAUAAAAAUUGAUUAUAGAAAUUUGAAAAUUCUCAAACCCUAAUAUACUCUCUAUUAUUGAAGUAGCCGUCUCUAUCAUCAGUGGGGCUUCCAUCGGUUUUCAACAGUGGAGAGCCCCAAAUCUUUUGUUUGUUUCAUCUUAUUUUUUUCUUUCAAUAAUCUUACUCGUUGAGGAAGGAUUUGUCUCAUUUGAUUUGUUUUUUAGACCUACAUCAUCGGAGCUUACAGUUUACUUUUUUAUUUGAUUGAAGCGGAGCUUAUCGGAUACGAGAGUUACUCGUUCUUCUUGUGGUUUUGACGGUUAGAUCUAAGUUUUUUUAAUUUUCAUUUGUUUUCAGUCUACUUUUAUUUCGAUUGGUAAUUUGUAUUUUCAGGUUGUAUUCUUCUUGUCGUAUGACUUUUUAUUAUUAGAUUAACACUUUUGUUUCAAAAAAAAAUUUGAUUAUAAUGUUCGUUUGGUACCUCACAAACUAACAACAUCAUUGGUGUAGAUGUCGUAUGACUUUUUAUUAUUAGAUUAACACUUUUGUUUCAAAAAAAAUUUGAUUAUAAUGUUCGUUUGGUACCUCACAAACUAACAAAUCUUAAUAGUCCCUUCAAAUAUAUACAGAAAUCUCAUGUAAAUUUGGAUUUUGUACAUACAAAUUCAUGAACUUGUCAAUAAAAUGUAGAUUGUCGGAAUGUAUCUUUUGCAUAAAGAAAUUUCGCCCCUCCAAAUUUUUUCUGGUUCCGUCCCUGCGAACGCUCAAUUCAGCUAUAAAUACAUGAGUAAUAUUGCUCUACAAUAUAUUCUAGAUAUUCACCUCAUACACGCACAGUAAGAAAGAAAGAGGUCAUAGCAAUUGAUAGAAAGAAUGGAAGCAUCAAAAGUAGAAAAAAUAGGGAGGUCUCUCCAGGUACCUUCAGUACAAGAACUGGCCAAGGAUGAAUCUGCCACAGUUCCAUCACAAUACAUUCAUUCUGAUCAAGAUCCUGUAAUUCUCAGUUCGACAGAUCUACCUGAAGUCCCUGUGAUUGAUAUGGAGAUCUUACUUCAUGGAGAUUUAAUGGACGCCGAGCUCAAUAAAUUUCACCAAGCAUGCAAAGAGUGGGGAUUCUUUCAGGUACACUAUGUUUAAGAUUAAUUUAUUUUUUGAUGAAAAAAAAACUAGAUUACAACGCGUCUUUGCAGUUAAUAAACCAUGGUGUUAGCGGUUCAUUACUGGAGAAAGUGAAAACAGAGGUCGUGGAGUUCUUUAAGCUGCCACUUGAAGAGAAGAGAAAGUUUGGUCAACUGGAUGGAGAUAUAGAGGGAUAUGGACAAGCCUUCGUUGUCUCGGAGGAGCAAAAGCUUGAAUGGGCUGAUAUGUUCUACGUGAUCACCCUUCCUACUGAUCUCAGGAAACCGCACUUAUUGCCACAACUACCUCAUUCAUUCAGGUAACAAAAAAUUUCUUUUAUAUAAAGGCUUUUGCAGUAAUUUCUCCUACCUCCCGUAUGAGCCAACCGACAUGUAUCAAACCAUAACAAAUAUGCAGAAAUGUUAUAGAGGAUUACGCGGGGGAAUUGAAAAGCCUAGCAAUGAAUAUUCUCAGUCUAAUGGCCAAAGCUCUUCAAAUGAAUCCUGAGGAAAUGGAAGAGCUCUUUGAAGAAGGCAUGCAAUCAAUGAGGAUGAACUACUAUCCACCAUGCCCUCAACCGGAACAGGUUAUAGGGCUCACGCCCCACAGCGAUGCUACUGGCUUCACUAUCCUUUUUCAACUGAAUGAAAUUGACGGCCUACAGAUUAGAAAGGACGGUACUUGGAUUCCAAUAAAACCAUUGCCUUCUGCCUUUGUUAUAAACAUCGGAGAUGUUCUGGAGGUAAAAUUAACUCUUUUAAAUUUUUAUUUCUUGUAAAUGGAUAGACUAACAUGAUUUAAUCUGUAGGUUGUAACUAAUGGAACUUAUCGGAGCAUUGAGCAUAGAGGAGUUGUCAGCUCAGGGAAGGAGAGAAUGUCGAUUGCUACAUUUUUAAGCCCCAAGGUAGAUGCAGAAUUCGGUCCUGCACCAAGCCUUCUCUCGUCCCAAGCUCCUCCAAAGUUUAAAAGGAUUGGCGCUGCAGAUUUCUUUAAAGGAUAUUUUGCACAGAAGCUUGCUGGGAGAUGUUAUCUAGACACUCUACGAAUAUAAACCUAUUUUAUCACCUGAGCUUCUCCAGUGAAUAAACCUGCAACUUCCUACAUAUCGCUAACAAAGAAUCUGCUGCAAUUUCCACAAUGUAAACAGACUUAUUGUCUAUGCAACAGAUUGUAAUAAACUUUUCAUCACAAUUUCCCAUGUUUC